RNAcentral lists this ribosomal RNA (465 nucleotides) under Vreelandella stevensii. RNAcentral describes it as "partial 16S ribosomal RNA". It matches the Rfam family "Bacterial small subunit ribosomal RNA", at positions 338 to 795 of the family's 1533-position model. The record is from RNAcentral. Lineage: Bacteria; Pseudomonadati; Pseudomonadota; Gammaproteobacteria; Oceanospirillales; Halomonadaceae.
CCUACGGGCGGCAGCAGUGGGGAAUAUUGGACAAUGGGCGAAAGCCUGAUCCAGCCAUGCCGCGUGUGUGAAGAAGGCCUUCGGGUUGUAAAGCACUUUCAGUGGGGAAGAAAGCCUUGGGGCUAAUACCCUCGAGGAAGGACAUCACCCACAGAAGAAGCACCGGCUAACUCCGUGCCAGCAGCCGCGGUAAUACGGAGGGUGCGAGCGUUAAUCGGAAUUACUGGGCGUAAAGCGCGCGUAGGCGGUCUGAUAAGCCGGUUGUGAAAGCCCCGGGCUCAACCUGGGAACGGCAUCCGGAACUGUCAGGCUAGAGUGCAGGAGAGGAAGGUAGAAUUCCCGGUGUAGCGGUGAAAUGCGUAGAGAUCGGGAGGAAUACUAGUGGCGAAGGCGGCCUUCUGGACUGACACUGACGCUGAGGUGCGAAAGCGUGGGUAGCAAACAGGAUUAGAUACCCUAGUAGUC